CACCGCGGUUAUACGAAAGACCCAAGCUGACAGUGAUCGGCGUAAAGCGUGGUUAUGGGAUACGCCUACUAAAGUCAAACGCCCCCUCAGCUGUUAUACGCCUGUGGGGGCCGGAGGCCCCCUUACGAAGGUGACUUUAAUAUACCUCCUGAAUCCACUACAGCUAAUGAA
Molecule: ribosomal RNA, 171 nt
Filed under: Scopelarchus sp. CBM:ZF:14771
Lineage: Eukaryota; Metazoa; Chordata; Actinopteri; Aulopiformes; Scopelarchidae
Description: partial 12S rRNA
Source: RNAcentral